ACGGUUAUUCGAGACGGAAAAAGAAUUACCAAUUUGCCAGCGAAGGAACUUGUGCCCGGCGAUAUCGUUGAACUCAGAGUCGGUGACAAAGUCCCCGCCGAUAUGCGAGUUGUGGAGUUGAUAAGUUCGACGCUUAGAGUCGAGCAGGGGUCGCUGACCGGAGAGAGCGAAGCGGUUAAUAAAACGAACAAGGCCGUGGCGGAGGACGCUGACAUUCAGGGAAAGAGGUGUAUGGUUUUCGCUGGGACAACCGUCGUGAACGGCAGUUGCAUUUGCUUGGUUACACAAACAGGGAUGGAAACGGAGAUUGGCAGAGUGCACACUCAAAUUCAUGUGGCGUCCCAGAUGGAGGAGGACACGCCAUUGAAGAAGAAGUUAAAUGAGUUUGGAGAAUCGCUCACGAAGAUAAUCGGAGUGGUUUGUGUAUUAGUGUGGUUGAUCAAUGUGAAGUACUUUUUCA
RNAcentral lists this unclassified non-coding RNA (460 nucleotides) under Hevea brasiliensis (rubber tree). Lineage: Eukaryota; Viridiplantae; Streptophyta; Magnoliopsida; Malpighiales; Euphorbiaceae. The record is from RNAcentral.